UAGGGAAUCUUCCACAAUGGGCGCAAGCCUGAUGGAGCAACACCGCGUGAGUGAAGAAGGGUUUCGGCUCGUAAAGCUCUGUUGUUAAAGAAGAACAUAUCUGAGAGUAACUGUUCAGGUAUUGACGGUAUUUAACCAGAAAGCCACGGCUAACUACGUGCCUG
Molecule: ribosomal RNA, 164 nt
Filed under: uncultured bacterium
Lineage: Bacteria
Description: partial 16S ribosomal RNA
Rfam family: Bacterial small subunit ribosomal RNA
Source: RNAcentral